This 348-nucleotide unclassified non-coding RNA is filed under the name soil metagenome. Its description in RNAcentral is "partial contains 5.8S ribosomal RNA, internal transcribed spacer 2, and large subunit ribosomal RNA". The stretch from base 1 to 120 matches the Rfam family "5.8S ribosomal RNA", at positions 35 to 154 of the family's 154-position model. The record is from RNAcentral.
GAUGAAGAACGUAGCGAAAUGCGAUAAGUAAUGUGAAUUGCAGAAUUCAGUGAAUCACCGAAUCUUUGAACGCACAUUGCGCCCGCCAGUAUUCUGGCGGGCAUGCCUGUCUGAGCGUCAUUUCAACCCUCAUGCCCCUAGGGCGUGGUGUUGGGGAUCGGCCAAAGCCCGCGAGGGACGGCCGGCCCCUAAAUCUAGUGGCGGACCCGUCGUGGCCUCCUCUGCGAAGUAGUGAUAUUCCGCAUCGGAGAGCGAUGAGCCCCUGCCGUUAAACCCCCAACUUUCCAAGGUUGACCUCAGAUCAGGUAGGAAUACCCGCUGAACUUAAGCAUAUCAAUAAGCGGAGGA